GUGCCUGGUGCCCAUGCGUGCGUGUGCAUGUGGGGGUUGUGUGUUUAGGGGGGGCCUGUGUCUGCGCUGCAGAGCAAGAGGGGGUAGAGAUGCUAAGGUGAUGGCUGACAUGGCUCUGGGGUUUCCCUAGUCUCAGAAGUACUUGUUGCGUUCCAUCUUCGCCAGCGGCCUGGUGAAGUCAGCACUGCUUUUCCCCCCAUUUUGCAGAUGAGAUUUUGGGGCUCACCAGCGUCCCCCAUGGCUUCUGAGUAGCGCGGGAGUGGAGUCAGCACCAAGCCAGGCUCCCCGCGCCUGCCUUGCCUUCACCUGCUCCUGCUCUCUGCCAGAGGCAGCAUGGUCCGCAGGGCACCAUGGGGCCCGACAGAGUGACAGCACGAGAACUGUGCGAGAACGACGACCUGGCCACCAGCCUCGUCCUGGACCCCUACCUCGGUUUCCGCACCCAUAAGAUGAACGUCAGCCCUGUGCCCCCCCUGCGGCGACAGCAGCACCUGCGCUCAGCGCUGGAAACUUUCCUGAGGCAGCGGGACCUGGAGGCUGCGUACCGGGCCCUGACGCUGGGAGGCUGGACGGCCCGCUACUUCCAGAGCCGGGGCCCGCGGCAGGAGGCUGCCCUCAAGACCCACGUCUAUCGCUACCUCCGUGCCUUCCUGCCGGAAAGUGGCUUUACCAUCCUGCCCUGCACACGCUACUCCAUGGAGACCAACGGGGCCAAGAUCGUGUCCACUCGCGCUUGGUAAGAGGGCAGGACUCCCUCCGGGUAUCCUUGGAGGAGACAGAGCUCAGAGGGUACAAGAGAGACCCUCUGUUCAUGGACUGGCCAACCGGGGAAAAGAGAGGUGCCUGGUCCUCUGGGCAUCCUAGGAAGGUGGUGGGGCUAAUCCCGGAAGACCUUUGUGGCUACUGUGGUGCUACUGGAGCAGGAGACACCAGAUGUGACCCCAGGGUUCCUGGGGCUUCGAGGAAAGAACUAGGCUUCUGCUCAGGGCUGCACUGUCCUUACCUCCUCGUGACCUGAGCCCCCACCACGUGUUAAACACCCCUGAGUGCAGUGAGGAGCCCCUGCCCCUGCCCCUGCAGGGUUCACAGUCUGGUGGGGAGGCGGGUGGCAGACAAGUCAACAUACAGUCAUUGGUCCCAGCUGGUACACGCUGCAGGGGAGCUGUGAGGAAUGAGCAAGUGCUCCCAGGGCGAGGCUCACACUGAGAGGGGAAGCACCAGCCUGAGGGUCUGGUGGGGCGAGUAGGGGGUAGUCCAGGCAGGAGGGAAUUGGGGGCAGGAGGUGCUAUGAGAGCGAGGGGAGAGAAGGGGGGCUAUAUCUGCUGUGUGCGUGCUGUCCUGAAGGCUUUCAGCAGAAGGGUCCUGUGAGGCUGUGGGCUGGAGCAGGGAAGCCCACCCAGGCGGGAGGGGAAGAGGGAGAUCUGGAAGACUGGAUCGCCAGUAGCCAGCACCAGCGCACAGGAGUCCCUGCUUCCUGGGUGCCUCUGUGCCGGAGGCCCGAGUACCCCGAGCACCUGCAGGAGGCCAGGCAUCGCCCACAGCCCCGCCCCCUGGCCUCUUGGCAGGAAAAAGAAUGAGAAGCUGGAGCUGCUGGUGGGCUGCAUUGCAGAGCUGCGGGAGGCGGAUGAGGGGCUGCUGAGGGCCGGUGAGAACGACUUCAGCAUCAUGUACUCAACACGCAAGCGGAGUGCUCAGCUGUGGCUGGGCCCAGCCGCCUUCAUCAACCAUGGUGAGGGUCAGGCAGGUGGAUGGGCGGGACGGGACAGAGCCAGGCGGGGCUGGAGGGAUGUAGUGGGAGGGUUCUGCAACUGAGCUGCUGAGCUCAUCGACCUCUCUUCUCUCUCCUGCCCCGACUGGCUCCAGACUGCAAACCCAACUGCAAGGUAAGUCCCUGGGACUCGGGAGGAGUGGGCACGCGGGAAGAAAGGGUGCCUGUGGCCUGGGGAAAGGGUUUUUGGUCAGUAAAGAGCCAAACGCUGGCCAGGUGCGGUGGCUCACGCCUGUAAUCCCAGCACUUUGGGAGGCCGAGGAGGGUGGAUCACGAGGUUAGGAGAUGGAGACCACGGUGAAACCCCGUCUCUACUAAAAACACAAAAAAUUAGCCAGGCGCGGUGGUGGGCGCCUGUAGUCUCAGCUACUCGGAAGGCUGAGGCAGGAGAAUGGUGUGAACCCAGGAGGUGGAGCUUGCAGUGAUCUGAGAUCGGGCCACUGCACUGCAGCCUGGGUGACAGAGCGAGACUCCGUCUCAAAAAAAAA
Molecule: small RNA, 2256 nt
Filed under: Pongo abelii (Sumatran orangutan)
Lineage: Eukaryota; Metazoa; Chordata; Mammalia; Primates; Hominidae
Description: retained intron
Source: RNAcentral